CCUACGGGAGGCAGCAGUGAGGAAUAUUGGUCAAUGGACGCAAGUCUGAACCAGCCAAGCCGCGUGCAGGAAGACGGCUCUAUGAGUUGUAAACUUCUUUUGUACGAGGGUAAACGCAGACACGCGUACCUGUCUGAAUGUACCGUAUGAAUAAGGAUCGGCUAACUCCGUGCCAGCAGCCGCGGUAAUACGGAGGAUUCAAGCGUUAUCCGGAUUUAUUGGGUUUAAAGGGUGCGUAGGUGGUUGGGUAAGUUAGUGGUGAAAUCUCGAGGCUCAACCUGGGAAUUGCCUCUGAUACUGUUCGGCUAGAGAGUAGUUGCGGUAGGCGGAAUGUAUGGUGUAGCGGUGAAAUGCUUAGAGAUCAUGCAGAACACCGAUUGCGAAGGCAGCUUACCAAGCUACUACUGACGUUGAGGCACGAAAGCGUGGGGAGCAAACAGGAUUAGAUACCCCGGUAGUC
This 460-nucleotide ribosomal RNA is filed under the name uncultured bacterium. Its description in RNAcentral is "partial 16S ribosomal RNA". It matches the Rfam family "Bacterial small subunit ribosomal RNA", at positions 338 to 795 of the family's 1533-position model. The record is from RNAcentral.